AACGCUAGCUACAGGCUUAACACAUGCAAGUCGAGGGGAAACGAUAUUGGAAGCUUGCUUCCGAUAGGCGUCGACCGGCGCACGGGUGAGUAACGCGUAUCCAACCUGCCCAUCACUUGGGAAUAACCUUGCGAAAGUAAGACUAAUGCCCAAUGACAUUUAUAGAAGGCAUCUGAAAUGAAUUAAAGAUUUAUCGGUGAUGGAUGGGGAUGCGUCUGAUUAGCUUGUUGGCGGGGUAACGGCCCACCAAGGCGACGAUCAGUAGGGGUUCUGAGAGGAAGGUCCCCCACAUUGGAACUGAGACACGGUCCAAACUCCUACGGGAGGCAGCAGUGAGGAAUAUUGGUCAAUGGGCGAGAGCCUGAACCAGCCAAGUAGCGUGCAGGAUGAUGGCCCUAUGGGUUGUAAACUGCUUUUAUAGGGGAAUAAAGUGAGCCACGUGUGGUUUUUUGCAUGUACCCUAUGAAUAAGGACCGGCUAAUUCCGUGCCAGCAGCCGCGGUAAUACGGAAGGUCCGGGCGUUAUCCGGAUUUAUUGGGUUUAAAGGGAGCGUAGGCCGGAGAUUAAGCGUGUUGUGAAAUGUAGAUGCUCAACAUCUGAACUGCAGCGCGAACUGGUUUCCUUGAGUACGCAUAAAGUGGGCGGAAUUCGUGGUGUAGCGGUGAAAUGCUUAGAUAUCACGAAGAACUCCGAUUG
RNAcentral lists this ribosomal RNA (696 nucleotides) under uncultured bacterium. Its description in RNAcentral is "bacterial SSU rRNA". It matches the Rfam family "Bacterial small subunit ribosomal RNA", at positions 32 to 715 of the family's 1533-position model. The record is from RNAcentral.